This 1281-nucleotide long non-coding RNA is filed under the name Lytechinus variegatus (green sea urchin). RNAcentral describes it as "uncharacterized LOC121418893". Lineage: Eukaryota; Metazoa; Echinodermata; Echinoidea; Temnopleuroida; Toxopneustidae. The record is from RNAcentral.
GAAUUCACAAAGGUGGACUAAAGUUAUACCCGGGGUAUAAAACGCGUCAUUUGACGUCAUUUUAAUCCAUGGACUAAAGUUAGUACCUAGGUACUAACUUUUGCGAUUCACAAAGGUGGACUAAAGUUAUACCGGGGUAUAAAACGCGUCAUUUGACGUCACGAUUUAGUCAGCUCUUUGGGGUGGACUAAAUCGGUGGAUUAAAGUUAGUCCACGGUUUUAACCAAUCAGAGAGCAGCAUUGCGGUUGCAGAAAAGUUUGCUGCAAGAAAAAAGUUUUUUGGACGGAGACGAGAUUCGGUGUGAUCGGCUUAUCUAAAGCUUAAAAUUUCACGACUUCGACCGAGAUUAAACAGACCAUACUCGGCAGAUUGUGAUCAAUCAAAACGACAAACAUGGCUCACAUUUUUGAACUGCUGUGCCUUCUUGCAACAGAGUGAGAUUCAGCAACACAUAGGAAGACCACAGCAUGGAUUAAGAGACAGGAAGAAUCCAUUUGAAUGCUACAAGGAUGAACCUUUCAGAGUGGGCUACCAACAGAGAGAAACGACACAUUGCCUGACAUGUUACAUGUUUUGACAGGACUUUGUUUUUAUGCCAUUGGUACCUUUUAGAAGAUGCAAGCAGACAAAGCAACUAUAUCAUAGUCAUCCGUGUGCAGAAUCAUCAAAGAUUUUUCUGAGGCAAUGGCAAGGAGUAACAGUUAAUGAAGUGUCCGAUGACGAGAAAUUCAAACCACCCAGCGACAAUUUGAUGAUUGCUACAGGUUUCCAAGAGUCGUAGGUGCUAUCGAUUGGGGCCAUGUCUACAUCAGGAGUCCUGAUGGGGAACAAGCCCUGUACUUAGCAGGAAGAACAGGUCUUCUGUAAAUGUAUAGGUAUCCGUUGCUCCUCUCUUUGAUGAAUUCCUGCCUGCAUUCUGUUGUCAAUAGAAAAGGACCAUGUGCUUCGGGUAUUAAGCAUUCCAUUGGAUUAUCUGUGUAUGAAAGUGGACACUUGUGAUCACAAAAUGGUAGCUUAGUUGAUAGGAUGUAUUCAUGCAUUCCGAUUUAUCAUUAGUGAUCAAAUGACCAUCUUGCUUUUAAAAACCCAAAUUCACAACAUUUUUCUUGUUUGGCAAAAGGUUUGGGAUGUGAAUUCCAGGAAAUAAAUGACACACACGAUGGGCUAAUGUAUAAGCAGGGAUGUGAGAGGUAUAAGCAACAUUUUGCUCAUGCUUAACUAAGUUUGGCAUGAGAUGGUCUUGGUCAUUCUUAUGAUUCAAGUCUAUUUUUAUACCAUUU